RNAcentral lists this ribosomal RNA (506 nucleotides) under Mucor ardhlaengiktus. RNAcentral describes it as "partial large subunit ribosomal RNA". It matches the Rfam family "Eukaryotic large subunit ribosomal RNA", at positions 100 to 603 of the family's 3401-position model. The record is from RNAcentral. Lineage: Eukaryota; Fungi; Mucoromycota; Mucoromycetes; Mucorales; Mucoraceae.
GAAAAGAGCUCAAAGUUGGAACCUGUUUGGCUUAGCUAAACNGGAUUGUAAACUGUAGAAACGUUUUCCUGGCACGCCANAUAAAUAAGUCCUUUGGAACAGGGCAUCAUAGAGGGUGAGAAUCCCGUCUUUGGUCUGAGCUGUUGUCUUUUGUGAUACGUUUUCAAAGAGUCAGGUUGUUUGGGAAUGCAGCCUAAAUUGGGUGGUAAAUCUCACCUAAAGCUAAAUAUUUGCGAGAGACCGAUAGCGAACAAGUACCGUGAGGGAAAGAUGAAAAGAACUUUGAAAAGAGAGUUAAACAGUAUGUGAAAUUGUUAAAAGGGAACCGUUUGGAGCCAGACUGGCUUGAUCGUAAUCAAUCUAGGUUUCGACCUGGAUGCACUUGCGGUCUAUGCCUGCCAACGACAGUUCUUUCUGAAGGAUAAAACUAGGAGGAAUGUGGCCCCUCGGGGUGUUAUAGCCUCUUAGAUAAUACUUUGGAUGGGACUGAGGAACGCAGUGAAUGC